GACGAACUUUGGCGGCGUGCUUAACACAUGCAAGUCGAACGGAAAGGCCCUGCUUUUGUGGGGUGCUCGAGUGGCGAACGGGUGAGUAACACGUGAGUAACCUGCCCUUGACUUUGGGAUAACUUCAGGAAACUGGGGCUAAUACCGGAUAGGAGCUCCUGCUGCAUGGUGGGGGUUGGAAAGUUUCGGCGGUUGGGGAUGGACUCGCGGCUUAUCAGCUUGUUGGUGGGGUAGUGGCUUACCAAGGCUUUGACGGGUAGCCGGCCUGAGAGGGUGACCGGCCACAUUGGGACUGAGAUACGGCCCAGACUCCUACGGGAGGCAGCAGUGGAGAAUAUUGCACAAUGGGCGGAAGCCUGAUGCAGCAACGCCGCGUGCGGGAUGACGGCCUUCGGGUUGUAAACCGCUUUCGCCUGUGACGAAGCGUGAGUGACGGUAAUGGGUAAAGAAGCACCGGCUAACUACGUGCCAGCAGCCGCGGUGAUACGUAGGGUGCGAGCGUUGUCCGGAUUUAUUGGGCGUAAAGGGCUCGUAGGUGGUUGAUCGCGUCGGAAGUGUAAUCUUGGGGCUUAACCCUGAGCGUGCUUUCGAUACGGGUUGACUUGAGGAAGGUAGGGGAGAAUGGAAUUCCUGGUGGAGCGGUGGAAUGCGCAGAUAUCAGGAGGAACACCAGUGGCGAAGGCGGUUCUCUGGGCCUUUCCUGACGCUGAGGAGCGAAAGCGUGGGGAGCGAACAGGCUUAGAUACCCUGGUAGUCCACGCUGUAAACGGUGGGUACUAGGUGUGGGGUCCAUUCCACGGGUUCCGUGCCGUAGCUAACGCUUUAAGUACCCCGCCUGGGGAGUACGGCCGCAAGGCUAAAACUCAAAGGAAUUGACGGGGCCCCGCACAAGCGGCGGAGCAUGCGGAUUAAUUCGAUGCAACGCGUAGAACCUUACCUGGGUUUGACAUGGAUCGGGAGUGCUCAGAGAUGGGUGUGCCUCUUUUGGGGUCGGUUCACAGGUGGUGCAUGGCUGUCGUCAGCUCGUGUCGUGAGAUGUUGGGUUAAGUCCCGCAACGAGCGCAACCCUUGUUCACUGUUGCCAGCACGUUAUGGUGGGGACUCAGUGGAGACCGCCGGGGUCAACUCGGAGGAAGGUGGGGAUGACGUCAAGUCAUCAUGCCCCUUAUGUCCAGGGCUUCACGCAUGCUACAAUGGCUGGUACAGAGAGUGGCGAGCCUGUGAGGGUGAGCGAAUCUCGGAAAGUCGGUCUCAGUUCGGAUUGGGGUCUGCAACUCGACCUCAUGAAGUCGGAGUCGCUAGUAAUCGCAGAUCAGCAACGCUGCGGUGAAUACGUUCCCGGGGCU
RNAcentral lists this ribosomal RNA (1346 nucleotides) under uncultured bacterium. RNAcentral's name for it is "partial 16S ribosomal RNA". It matches the Rfam family "Bacterial small subunit ribosomal RNA", at positions 28 to 1381 of the family's 1533-position model. The record is from RNAcentral.